Molecule: ribosomal RNA, 107 nt
Filed under: Oidiodendron maius
Lineage: Eukaryota; Fungi; Ascomycota; Leotiomycetes; Myxotrichaceae
Description: partial 5.8S ribosomal RNA
Rfam family: 5.8S ribosomal RNA
About the family: 5.8S ribosomal RNA (5.8S rRNA) is a component of the large subunit of the eukaryotic ribosome. It is transcribed by RNA polymerase I as part of the 45S precursor that also contains 18S and 28S rRNA.
Source: RNAcentral
GAAAUGCGAUAAGUAAUGCGGAUUGCAGAAUUCAGUGAGUCAUCGAAUCUUUGAACGCACAUUGCGCCCUGUGGUAUUCCGCAGGGCAUGCCUGUUCGAGCGUCAUU